UAGGGUGAACCUGCGGAGGGAUCAUUACCGAGUUUACAACUCCCAAACCCAAUGUGAACCAUACCAAACUGUUGCCUCGGCGGGGUCACGCCCCGGGUGCGUCGCAGCCCCGGAACCAGGCGCCCGCCGGAGGGACCAACCAAACUCUUUUCUGUAGUCCCCUCGCGGACGUUAUUUCUUACAGCUCUGAGCAAAAAUUCAAAAUGAAUCAAAACUUUCAACAACGGAUCUCUUGGUUCUGGCAUCGAUGAAGAACGCAGCGAAAUGCGAUAAGUAAUGUGAAUUGCAGAAUUCAGUGAAUCAUCGAAUCUUUGAACGCACAUUGCGCCCGCCAGUAUUCUGGCGGGCAUGCCUGUCCGAGCGUCAUUUCAACCCUCGAACCCCUCCGGGGGGUCGGCGUUGGGGACCUCGGGAGCCCCUAAGACGGGAUCCCGGCCCCGAAAUACAGUGGCGGUCUCGCCGCAGCCUCUCCUGCGCAGUAGUUUGCACAACUCGCACCGGGAGCGCGGCGCGUCCACGUCCGUAAAACACCCAACUUCUGAAAUGUUGACCUCGGAUCAGGUAGGAAUACCCGCUGAACUUAAGCAUAUCAAUAAGCGGAGG
RNAcentral lists this ribosomal RNA (603 nucleotides) under Trichoderma atroviride. RNAcentral's name for it is "eukaryotic LSU rRNA". The stretch from base 213 to 366 matches the Rfam family "5.8S ribosomal RNA". The record is from RNAcentral. Lineage: Eukaryota; Fungi; Ascomycota; Sordariomycetes; Hypocreales; Hypocreaceae.